AACGAACGCUGGCGGCAUGCCUAACACAUGCAAGUCGAACGAGACCUUCGGGUCUAGUGGCGCACGGGUGCGUAACGCGUGGGAACCUGCCCUUAGGUUCGGAAUAACUCCCCGAAAGGGGUUCUAAUACCGGAUAAUGUCUUCGGACCAACGAUUUAUCGCCUUUGGAUGGGCCCGCGUUGGAUUAGCUAGUUGGUAGGGUAAAAGCCUACCAAGGCGACGAUCCAUAGCUGGUCUGAGAGGAUGAUCAGCCACACUGGGACUGAGACACGGCCCAGACUCCUACGGGAGGCAGCAGUGGGGAAUAUUGGACAAUGGGCGAAAGCCUGAUCCAGCAAUGCCGCGUGAGUGAUGAAGGCCUUAGGGUUGUAAAGCUCUUUUACCCGGGAUGAUAAUGACAGUACCGGGAGAAUAAGCUCCGGCUAACUCCGUG
RNAcentral lists this ribosomal RNA (433 nucleotides) under uncultured bacterium. RNAcentral's name for it is "partial 16S ribosomal RNA". It matches the Rfam family "Bacterial small subunit ribosomal RNA", at positions 29 to 507 of the family's 1533-position model. The record is from RNAcentral.